CCUACGGGAGGCAGCAGUGGGGAAUAUUGGGCAAUGGGCGCAAGCCUGACCCAGCAACGCCGCGUGAAGGAAGAAGGCUUUCGGGUUGUAAACUUCUGUUAUCAGGGACGAAGCAAGUGACGGUACAUGAUGCAUAAGCCACGGCUAACUACGUGCCAGCAGCCGCGGUAAUACGUAGGUGGCAAGCGUUAUCCGGAUUUACUGGGUGUAAAGGGCGGGUAGGCGGGUUUGUAAGUCAGAUGUGAAAACUAUGGGCUCAACCCAGAGCUGGCAUUUGAAACUGUACUUCUUGAGUGCUGGAGAGGAAAGCGGAAUUCCGUGUGUAGCGGUGAAAUGCGUAGAGAUACGGAGGAACACCAGUGGCGAAGGCGGAUUGCUGGACAGUAACUGACGCUGAGGCGCGAAAGCGUGGGGAGCAAACAGGAUUAGAUACCCGAGUAGUC
This 443-nucleotide ribosomal RNA is filed under the name uncultured bacterium. RNAcentral's name for it is "partial 16S ribosomal RNA". It matches the Rfam family "Bacterial small subunit ribosomal RNA", at positions 338 to 795 of the family's 1533-position model. The record is from RNAcentral.